This 150-nucleotide ribosomal RNA is filed under the name uncultured eukaryote. RNAcentral describes it as "partial small subunit ribosomal RNA". It matches the Rfam family "Eukaryotic small subunit ribosomal RNA", at positions 1651 to 1810 of the family's 1831-position model. The record is from RNAcentral.
CCCUGCCAUUUGUACACACCGCCCGUCGCUCCUACCGUUGGACUUGAAGGUGAGCCUGGCAGAUGAUAAGAUGGUUCGUCCAUCAACUCAGAAACCAUGCAAACCUUUUUGUCUGUAGGAAGGAGAAGUCGUAACAAGGUUUUCGUAGGU